This 468-nucleotide ribosomal RNA is filed under the name uncultured bacterium. Its description in RNAcentral is "partial 16S ribosomal RNA". It matches the Rfam family "Bacterial small subunit ribosomal RNA", at positions 28 to 507 of the family's 1533-position model. The record is from RNAcentral.
GACGAACGCUGGCGGCGUGCUUAACACAUGCAAGUCGAACGGAAAGGCCCUGCUUUUGUGGGGUGCUCGAGUGGCGAACGGGUGAGUAACACGUGAGUAACCUGCCCUUGGCUUUGGGAUAACUUCAGGAAACUGGGGCUAAUACCGGAUAGGAGCUCCUGCUGCAUGGUGGGGGUUGGAAAGUUUCGGCGGUUGGGGAUGGACUCGCGGCUUAUCAGCUUGUUGGUGGGGUAGUGGCUUACCAAGGCUUUGACGGGUAGCCGGCCUGAGAGGGUGACCGGCGACAUUGGGACUGAGAUACGGCCCAGACUCCUACGGGAGGCAGCAGUGGGGAAUAUUGCACAAUGGGCGGAAGCCUGAUGCAGCAACGCCGCGUGCGGGAUGACGGCCUUCGGGUUGUAAACCGCUUUCGCCUGUGACGAAGCGUGAGUGACGGUAAUGGGUAAAGAAGCACCGGCUAACUACGUG